RNAcentral lists this ribosomal RNA (254 nucleotides) under uncultured bacterium. RNAcentral describes it as "partial 16S ribosomal RNA". It matches the Rfam family "Bacterial small subunit ribosomal RNA", at positions 524 to 776 of the family's 1533-position model. The record is from RNAcentral.
CACGUAGGGAGCAAGCGUUGUCCGGAUUUAUUGGGCGUAAAGAGCUCGUAGGCUGUUCGAUAAGUCGGGUGUGAAACCUCCAGGCUCAACCUGGAGACGCCACCCGAUACUGUCAUGACUAGAGUUCGGUAGGGGAGACUGGAAUUCCUGGUGUAGCGGUGAAAUGCGCAGAUAUCAGGAGGAACACCGGUGGCGAAGGCGGGUCUCUGGGCCGAUACUGACGCUGAGGAGCGAAAGCGUGGGGAGCGAACAGG